This 899-nucleotide ribosomal RNA is filed under the name uncultured eukaryote. RNAcentral's name for it is "bacterial SSU rRNA". It matches the Rfam family "Eukaryotic small subunit ribosomal RNA", at positions 564 to 1496 of the family's 1831-position model. RNAcentral also lists the same sequence under 1 other name. The record is from RNAcentral.
GUGCCAAGCAGCCGCGGUAAUUCCAGCUCCAAUAGCAUAUAUUAAAGUUGUUGCAGUUAAAAAGCUCGUAGUUGGAUUUCUGAAGUGGUCUGCUGUCUGCACUGCGGGCGGCAGACCACAUUCAUCCUUCUGUUAACACGUGUUGGCACUCCGUGCUGGACGUGGGCUCAGAUAUUUUACCUUGAGAAAAUUAGAGUGUUUCAGGCAGGCAAGGCCGGAAUACAAAAGCAUGGAAUAAUGGAGUUGACACGACUCUGUGGUUGGCCAGGGAAGUGUAAUGAUUAAUAGGAACAGUUGGGGGCAUUAGUAUUUAAUUGUCAGAGGUGAAAUUCUUGGAUUUGUUAAAGACUAACUAAAGCGAAAGCAUUUGCCAAGGAUGUUUUCAUUAAUCAAGAACGAAAGUUAGGGGAUCAAAGACGAUCAGAUACCGUCGUAGUCUUAACCAUAAACGAUGCCGACUAGAGAUUGGAGGAGAUAAUCGAGCUCCUUCAGCAUCUAAGGAGAAAUCAAGUCUUUGGGUUCUGGGGGGGAGUAUGGUCGCAAGGCUGAAACUUGAAGGAAUUGACGGAAGGGCACCACCCAGGAGUGGAGCCUGCGGCUUAAUCUGACUCAACACGGAGAAAUUUACCAGGUCCAGACAUUGAUAGGAUUGACAGAUUGAUAGCCCUUUCUUGAUUCUAUGGGUGGUGGUGCCAUGAUGUUCUUAGUUGGUGGAAGUGAUUUGUCUGGUUUAAUUCCGAUAACGAACGAGACCUUAACCCUACUAACUAGACCCAUGGAGUUAUUACUCUAUGGAGCUUCUUAGAGGGACCUGUGUGGUAAAACUCAAGGAAGUUUAAAGGCAAUAACAGGUCUGUGAUGCCCAAAGGCCGAAUCCAAGCACACUUGGGCGGCCGGGU